CCUGGAGCGACUGCUGCUGCACCAUGGCGCGGCACCCCGCGGCGCCGCCGCGGUGGCGGCGGUGGCGGAAUCCGGCGCUCCGGCGGGUGUUGGGAGGUGGGGAGCGGUGCAGGGAGGGGAGACCCGAGGGACGGGUGAGGAGGGAGCCGAGGACUGCGGCAGCCAUGAAUCACUUCUCCUCGCUUUCAAGGAUGCAGGCGGAUUUGAGGCUUUGGCCGGUGGCCAGACGACGGAGAUGCAGAGGAUCGAUGUUAAUGAGAGAAUUGUGGCGCUCGAGCGGCUCAAUCCCACUCCCCGUCCCACUACAUCUCCGUAUCUGGACGGGCGGUGGAAUUUUGAGUGGUUUGGAGCUGGCAGUCCGGGGUUGUUCACGGCGAAGUUACUGUUCGAGAGAUCUCCUUCCUCCGUGGCAAAUUUGUUGGGAAUGAGCAUCUUGAUCAAGGAUGGGUAUGGGAAAAUUACGGCAACUUUGAAGUUUCUAAACUCGAUAGAAACCAAGUUUCAUCUAACCACCAAAUUGUCUGUAGAAGGCCCAACUCGAUUCAAAGAAGAGUAUGAUGAAGGGUUUUUUGAAACACCGAUAGUUAGUGAAGAAGCUAUACCUGAGCAAAUAAAGGGUGUACUCGGACAAGCUACUGGUACGCUGGAACAACUUCCGGCUCCAGUAAGGGAUGCCUUUUCCAAUGGACUGAAAGUCCCACUUAGUGGGACUUUCCAGAGGCUGAUCAUGGUUUCAUAUUUAGAUGAAGAAAUUUUGAUCGUAAGGGAUUCUGCUGGAGCACCGGAUGUGCUAACAAGGUUGGAAGGUCCCCCGGAAACCUUGACUUCUGAUCCCAUCAUCGGGGAGUACGAAAGCUAAAUACUCCAAGCUCUACUUUAACUCGAAUGCAGCGACGCCACUUGAAAUAGUAAACUAUACUGUUCCUCUGUUCUCCAGAGUUCAAUAUCUAGGGAUCUCAUCGCUUGUGUUUAGAUAUAUUCUCAUUUUCUUUGUAAAAACUUAUAUUACAAUUUUCAAUCACACAAAUUUGUGGGGACUUCUGUUGAGAAAGCAGUUUUGG
Molecule: unclassified non-coding RNA, 1061 nt
Filed under: Hevea brasiliensis (rubber tree)
Lineage: Eukaryota; Viridiplantae; Streptophyta; Magnoliopsida; Malpighiales; Euphorbiaceae
Source: RNAcentral